AGUCUUUUCUUCUACAGGCCUUUGAAGAGUGUCUAAGGGCCUAUUUAUUUGUUCCAAUCUAGUAUUUCGUACCUAAUGUUUGUAUAAUUUUUUAAAUUUAGUUGCGUGCAUAGAAUAGAUUAGAUUUUAUGUGCAAGUGUAUGCUAAUAAAUACAAGGCUGUCCUUCUGAUACAUUGAGGUGGGCAGGGAACUCGGCAUUGGAAUAGUUCCAUACAGUCCUCUUGGUCGUGGAUUUUUCGGUGGCAAAGCUGUUGUGGAGAAUGUACCUGCAGAUAGCUUUUUGGUACUUUUUUCGGUCAAUGUUUAUCCGCAUCAUUUUGUUUCCUCAGUCAGUACUAUAUAAAUGUUUUAAACUAACAAAAGUAGUUUUACAGUUUCUUUUAAUGCUACUGUUUUAUAUAUCGUAGUAUAUAUGAAAAUGAUACGUGUGUUUGUUUUAUAAGCAUUUUCUUCCUAGGUUCAAAGGAGAGAACCUGGACAGGAACAAGAGUAUUUAUUUUCGCAUAGAGAACCUUGCCAAAAAGUACAAUUGCACUUCUGCUCAACUAGCCCUAGCAUGGGUUCUCGGACAGGGGGAUGAUGUCGUACCUAUUCCCGGUAACUUCUUUCUUUCGAGUUUGUGAUUCAUGUAGUGCCUUGAAGAAGUAUAUAGAGUUUAAAAAACCCAGUGGAUAAAAUGAUAUUACCAGCGAUAUUACUUACUGUUAAGUUGCUUCAAUUUUCAGGGACAACUAAGAUGAAAAACCUUGAUGACAAUAUUGACUCCUUGAGGAUUAAACUUACAAAAGAGGAUCUGAAAGAAAUUUCUGACGCUGUGCCCAUAGAAGAGGUAGCAGGAAACAGAGACCCGGAAGGCUUUGAUAAAGCAUCGUGGAAGUUUGCAAACACACCUCCAAAAGACUGCAAGGUUUGAACUUAAAAUAGUUCUGGAUGCUGCCUAUCUUACUUGGGGCUGGGAUGCAAUACUUUAUUCAAAUAAUGGCAGAUAAAUGCCAAAUUAUCUGUACAAUCUACUACUUGGCUAUCUGCCUAUUUGAUGUUAAACUUUGAUUAUUACGAUCUACUAUAUGUUUGGAAAUUUAGCAUGGCCAAUUUGUGAAAGGAAAAUACGCAUGUUUGAACUUUUCUAAGUUAAAGCUGAAUUCCAAGUUACUAUAAAAUCUUGCCAACUUGCUUUCCUUGAAAAUAAAGAUUAGAAAUAUCCAAAUUUUGGAUUGUAAUGAUUUUCCUGGAUUUUACUUCAUCAUAGUGUAGAUAUAUGUUGAAAUAUUUUCAGCCUUUUUGAGUUCCACGAAUGUGACAUGAAUGAAAUCUGUGAACCAUAUUUUAGCUCAAGCUGUUUCUCAACAAGACCUGGAGGACACUGGAUUGAAAAUAUAGUUUCUCAACAUACUACAUUGUCACUGCAACUUGAGUGGUUAAAUGAUAAAAGGUGAGUAUGUGUUGUUCAGAAAUAAGAAUAAUUGCAUAAAUUGUGAAGUUCACAAUACCAUUCAGGAGGCUAAAUUGACACAUUAAAAAACUUUCAAAUUCCUUCACCAACAAGGCACCAGUGGUCUUGUGGUAGAAUAAUACCCUGCCACGUAACAGACCCAGGUAUAGUAAUUAGCCCCACCUUCGAAUAAUUUUUAUUGUUGCCUUCUUUUGAUUAGUUCCAAAUCCUGCUUUAUUUUGUUAGUCCAUGGUACAAAGUACAAAACAGCAACACCAUUAACUCUCUUACGCCCUCCUUUAAUAAGAGUUAAGCUAAGCUACAAAGAGAGGAAAAGCUAACAGCUUUUCCAAAGAUGGCAGAAAAGAACAGAAUCCAAGUUCCAAGAGUGAAAUUUGGAUUUCCGAUUUGUAGUUUUCAUUUUUCUUUUUGUAUUUUUUUCCUUCAAUGCUGAUAAUUUGUUUUCUCUGACUGUGUUUUUGUGCUUUCACAGGUUUCAAAGCUGGGGUUUGGAUGCAUGAGCCUGAGCGGAGGUUACAAUUCUCGGGUCUCUGAAGAGGAUGGCAUCUCAAUAAUGAAGCAUGCUUUCAACAAAGGAAUCACUUUCUUUGAUACUGCUGAUAGAUAUGGACCAUAUAUACUAAUGAAAUUCUUCUUAGAAAGGUAAUGAUUAAGAAAAUGGAAUAAAAUGAAGUUAUCUUAUCAUGGAAUAACAUUUUAAAAGAAAAUCCAAAAUACAAAUAGGUUAUGUUUAUGCCAAAAAUUUAAAUAAAAAAAUAUAAAUUAGUAAUUAAAUUAACUUAACAAGGAUGAUGUUGCCGUAUUACACACAAAAAUAUAUUUUAUUUUGAUGAAUACUUAACGUUUGUAAAAUAAAUUAAAUUAAUUAGGAGUAAUAUGGACUUCUUAUUAUAAAAUAGCUUAAAUUGUUAGGGUAAGAGUUGAUUGUAGCAUUAUUAAAUUUAAAGGAGUAAGUAGUAUUUCUAACUUAUACUUGAGGAAGGAAUCUGUAAUUUUUCCAUGCAAAUAAGAAAUAUGUUUGUUUAAGGUAAUGGUAAAUAGCUACUCUUAGACAUUACUAAGAAAAUCAUAAGGUGGAAAUCAAAUCAUUGUUAAAAUUAUGUCAAUUUAUUUGGGGGGGAAAAAGUUCACUCCUUUCUAGUUUCUAGCCUUGAAGCAGUUGCCUAGGUUACAAGAUCAGCCACAAAGUUUGGGAUUACAGAAAUAGAUACCCCUGAGUAUGUACUCUGUUUUGUCGUGAAGCAAGCUUGAAGCACCUUGAUUUGAUUAUUAAUUGGUUUGACUUUCCUCUAAUCUUUUGGGUAAUUUCUAUAUAUGCUUUCACUAAAAACAAAUAAAUUUGCAAAGAAUACAUACAUAGAUAACUUUCUUUCAAAAUUAAAAAAAAAAAAAAAAAUGACCAACAAAGUGUUGGCUCCACUGGCAAUGGAGUUCCCUUAAGUGGCUUGACUGGGUUUGCUCCCCAGUUCGAGUCGCAGGGAAGUCGCCUUUGUUGGGAGAAUCUGUGCCUCCCGGUUCGAGCGGGGACUUCUAGUCUGAGUUGUGGUACGGGCUUAAAGGUGCCUCCCACAGUUGGGGCCCUCCCCAGGAUACCUCGUGAUUAAUAUAAAAAAAAAUGACAAGGAGAAAUUAUGAAUAUGAUGAUUCUUUAAAUAAAAAAUUUUACUGAUUUUCUAACAGCACAAAAUGCUUGAGAGGAAGAGAUUCUCAUAAAUCAAAUGUGAAAGGAUUAUGUUACCAUAAUAUAAAUAUGAAAAUGAAUUUUUCAUUUCUACUUAGAGCCUUGGGCCCAAACAAUUUUUUUUUUUCAAGUAUAAUACUUGAAUAGUUACAACAAAUGAUCGGACUAAUGACAUACACAAUACUUGAAUUUUCAGUAUAGAUUUAUAUUGAUGCAACAAAAUUGAUUCUCAUCUUCAUAGGCUAAGAAAUACAAAUCCAUUACUCAACUAAAAUUAUGGCGCAGAAGUUUUUGUUUUUGUUAAGGUUAAAAAAUGAGCAUAAAAGUAUACAUUUAACUGAUAAAUAAUUAGAAAAUUGAUAAAAUUAUUAAUUUUUUUUAGAAAAUUGAUUGAACUAGUCUGCAACAUUAAGUUUCAACAUAUCGUCCAAGGAUAGCCUAGCCAAGUUGGUAGCAAGAGAUUAAAUGUUCCAAUUUAAGGGGAUAUUCAUAGAUGUAAUCUGAAACAAAAAUGAAAUAAAAGUAAAAAUAAGCAAAUAAUGAAGUAAAAUCAUAAUCGAAUAAGAAUGCUAAGUUUUUAAAGAGGAGAGAAAUUACAAGUUAAGAUACGUUCAAAUUUCUUUGCAAACACACCCCUAAAAGAUUGCUAGGUUUGAACUCAAAAUAUUUCUUGAUGCUGCCUUAGUAGCUAUCUAACGCUUGGGGUCGGGAUCAAUACUUUAUUCAAAUAAAUGCUAAAUUAUCAAUAAAUUCUACUACAUGACUCUCUGCCUAUUGGAUGGAAAUUUGUAAAUUUAAUUCUGCCGAUUUUGUGAACUGAAAUUAUCUUUCGUUGUUAACUAGAAGUUAUAGCCUCAAGUUGCAAUAAAAUUUUGGCAAAUAGAGAUUGCAAAAUCCACCAGGAAAAUGCAGGGUGGCUUUUAUGUAUUUUAAUUCAGAUUGCUAUGUUGUUGCUACAUAACUGCCAUGUACCGAAUCAAAUGUAAACGCUUAAGGCUAUUUCUAGUAAAUAAUCUCCUAAAUUAAAAGAUGAAUUUGUUCCUACCUCCUUUUGGAGUUUUGGGUUCUGAUGCAGUGACUAUUCAAAUAUUGUUCUAAAAAGUUUAGAUACUUGACAUUCAAACUAUUAUGAAUAGUUAAUGGUCUUUACAUUGCUUGUAUUAUGAGGUCGGCAUGAGCCCUCAAUCAAAGAAGACACAAAGCCAUUGCAUUUGCAUUCAAGGGUAACAUAGGAGCCUAAAAUUUGCCACAAGAACAAAUAGAAACUACGGAAUAUACACUAUUGUGUUCAAAUUUCGUUCAAUUAAAAUAACGUCGUGGCACAUAUAUAAUUUAUGUUAUUAGAGAAAGUUUUUUAUGACACUAACGUACCAUGUUAUCAUACGUUUAUGCAAUAGAAUUGUAAUAUAUAUCCAUUUUGAAGUUGACCAACCAUGAAAGUGAGAGGAAACAAAAUUAAAACUUGGUGACACAAUAUAUUAUAUGGUCAAAUCGAGACUGUAAAUUUCUCUCCUAAGUUCUAACUGACAUUUUGCAAAGUCUAGGGGAUAUUUCUUAACUUUUAAAAUAUUUUGAACUUGUUUCCAAUUACACUGAACUUUGGGACACUUGUCAAAACUUUAUAAGUUCAUGAUUAAUCAUGAUAAAGAUAAAGAGCACGUGUCCCAGCUUAACACUUUUAGUCAUACGGAGCCUUCGACUUGGAGCCAAACCAGAAUCCUCUGUCUCAUUCUGCUCAUUGUUGACGUUAGAGUCAACUGUCUCUCUACUUAUUGAAACUUGAAAGACACCCAAAACAAAGAAACCAAAACUACAGCUUCAAAAAUGGCAGAAGAGAAACUCCAAGUUCCAAGAGUGAAACUUGGUACCCAAGGCCUCGAGGUAAACUACCCAUAUGUAAUUUUUUUUUUAAAAUCAAAUCCUGGAAAUUUGUUUUCUACAAUUGUGUGUUUUUCACGCUCUUACAGGUUUCAAAGUUGGGGCUUGGAUGCAUGAACCUGAGUUCUGGUUAUAGCUCUCCAGUCUCAGAAGAGGAUGGCAUCUCAAUGAUAAAACAUGCUUUCAGUAAAGGAAUCACUUUCUUUGAUACUGCUGAUGUGUACGGACAAAAUGCUAAUGAAAUUCUUCUGGGAAAGGUUAGAGUCAUUUCUUUGAAUUCUCUUACCUCUUAUAUAAUUCGGACAUAGGUCAAGUGAUAACUUAAGAAUCACAGUCCUGAUGAAAUAUGUUUGUUUAGGAAUUGGUGAAACCUCGUCGGAUUUUUUUGAAUCUUAUUGAAUUAAAAAAAAAAAAAAAAAGAGUACUCCUUCGAUUUCAGGCCUUCAAGAUGUUGCCCAGAGAAAAGGUACAAAUAGCCACAAAGUUUGGGGUUGUAGGACUAAGAGAUAAUGGCGUGAUCGUGAAGGGCACCCCUGAUUACGUGCGCUUGUGUUGUGAAGCUAGCCUGAAGCGACUUGAUGUGGAUUACAUUGAUCUAUAUUAUCAACAUAGAGUGGACACAUCAGUCCCCAUAGAGGAAACCGUGAGCGAUUUUUUUUUUUUUUUUUUUUUUUUUUUGGGCUAUCUGAAUUGUAGAGUUCUGUCCCAAAUUGCAAAAUUUAAAGAAUUAUUUUAGAAACUCUAUUACUUGUCAUGCUAUAGAUUGGUGAAAUGAAGAAGCUGGUGGAAGAGGGUAAAAUCAAGUACAUUGGAUUAUCUGAGGCCAGCCCAGACACAAUUAGGAGAGCACAUGCUGUUCAUCCCAUCACAGCUGUACAAAUGGAAUGGUCCCUCUGGACUCGUGAUAUUGAGGAAGAGAUAAUACCCCUCUGCAGGUUUGUUCUUCUUUCAGUGAAUACUAUCCGCAUUAGUCUUUUCUUCUACAGGCCUUUGAAGAGUGUCUAAGGACCUAUUUAUUUGUUCCAAUCUAGUAUUUUGUACCUAAUGUUUGUAGAAUUUUUUAAAUUUAAUUGCAUGCAUAGAGUAGAUUAGAUUUUCUGUGCAAGUGUAUGCUAAUAAAUACAAGGCUGCCCUUCUGAUACAUUGAGGUGGGCAGGGAACUCGGCAUUGGAAUAGUUCCAUACAGUCCUCUUGGUCAUGGAUUUUUUGGUGGCAAAGCUGUUGUGGAGAGUGUACCUGCAGAUAGCUUUUUGGUACUUUUUCCGAUCAAUGUUUAUCCGCAUCAUUUUGUUUCCUAAGUCAGUACUAUAUAAAAUGUUUUAAACUAGCAAAAGUAGUCUUACAGUUUCUUUAACUGUUUUAUAUAUCGUCGUACAUAUGAAAAUGAUACAUGUAUUUGUUUUAUAAGCAUUUUCUUCCUAGGUUCAAAGGAGAGAACCUGGACAGGAACAAGAGUAUUUAUUUUCGCAUAGAGAACCUUGCCAAAAAGUACAAUUGCACUUCUGCUCAACUAGCCCUAGCAUGGGUUCUUGGACAGGGGGAUGAUGUCGUACCUAUUCCCGGUAACUUCUUUCUUUCGAGUUUUUGAUUCAUGUAUUACCUUGAAGAAGUAUAUAGAGUUUAAAAAACCCAGCGGAUAAAAAGAUAUUACCAGCAAUAUUACUUACUGUUAAGUUGCUUCAAUUUUCAGGGACAACUAAGAUUAAAAACCUUGAUGACAAUAGUGACUCCUUGAGGAUUAAACUUACAAAAGAGGAUCUGAAAGAAAUUUCUGACGCUGUGCCCAUAGAAGAGGUAGCAGGAGACAGAGACCCGGAAGGCUUUGAUAAAGCAUCGUGGAAGUUUGCAAACACACCUCCAAAAGACUGCUAGGUUUCAACUUAAAAUAGUUCUUGAUGCUGCCUAUCUUACUUGGAGCUGGGAUACAAUAGUUUAUUCAAAUAAUGGCAGAUAAAUGCCAAAUUAUCUGUACAAUCUACUACUUGGCUAUCUGCCUAUUUGAUGUUAAACUUUGAUUAUUACGAUCUACUAUAUGUUUGGAAAUUUAGCAUGGCCAAUUUGUGAAAUGAAAAUACGCAUGUUUGAACUUUUCUAAGUUAAAGCUGAAUUCCAAGUUACUAUAAAAUCUUGCCAACUCGCUUUCCUUGAAAAUAAAGAUUGGAAAUAUCCAAAUUUUGGAUUGUAACAAUUUUCCUGGAUUUUACUUCAUCAUUGUAUAGAUAUAUGUUGAAAAAAUUUCAGCCUUUUUGAGUUCCAUGAAUGGGACAUGAAUGAAAUCUAUGAACCAUAUUUUAGCUCAAGCAGUUUCUCAACAAGACCUGGAGGAUACUUUAUUGAAAAUAUAGUUUCUCAACAUAAUACAUUGUCACUGCAACUUGAGUGGUUAAAUGAUAAAAGGUGAAUAUGUGUUGUUCAGAAAUAAGAAUAAUUGCAUAAAUUGUGAAGUUAACAAUGCUAUUUAGGAGGCGAAAUUGACACAUUGAUAAACUUUCAAAUUCCUUUACCAACAAGGCACCAGUGGUCCAGCGGUAGAAUCCCCCCCCCCCCCCCCCCGGCGCGGGUAUGGUAAUCAGCCCCAACGUCGAACAAUUUUUAUUGUUGCCUUCUUUUGAUUAGUUCCAAAUCCUGCUUUAUUUUGUUAGUCCAUGGUACAAAGUACAAAACAGCAACACCAGUAACUCUCUUACGCCCUCCUUUAAUAAGGAUUAAGCUAAGCUACAAAGAGAGGAAAAGCUAACAGCUUUUCCAAAGAUGGCAGAAAAGAACAAAAUCCAAAUUCCAACAGUGAAAUUUGGAUUUCCGAUUUGCAGUUUUAAUUUUUUUCUCUCUGUUUUUUUUUUUCCUUUAAUGCUGAUAAUUCGUUUUCUCUAAUGAUGGUCAGUGGGCCGUGCCGGCACCAAACGUCGGCCCACACAGGCUCGUGGGCUGGCACCGCACGGCCCACUAAUUUGGUGGGUCAUGUUUAUUUUUUUUAUAAGAGUCCGGCACGGCCCACCAGCCUAAUAAUAACAAUAAUAAUAAUAAUAAUAAUUUCAUAGAUCAUAGUAAUAAUUAAUGAAAAAUAAAAUUACAAUUUUAGAAUAACAAUUACAUCUAAUUUUAUUUGAACUACUAAUAUUAUAAUUGCACAUAAACUCUAUUGAAUGAAAAUGUAAUUUUUAAUUUAUCAUAAAAAUAUUUUGUUCAUAAUUUUAUUUUUUUGUGUAUAAAUAUGAAAAAUAUUUCAUUCACAAAUGAAACAUAUCUCCAUUAACUAUUAACUAAGUUAUGAUUUCAUAAAUGAAAUAUUAAUGUCGUAAAAUUUUUUAUUUAUCAUUUAUAAAAUCAUGAUAUUUAUUUAUCCAUUUAAUAAAUUAUAAACAUAAAAAAAAAUUAGAAUAUUUAUUUAAACUAGGACUUAAAUUAAUUUUAAAAAGCCUAUGCUAAAAAAAUAUAUUAAAAAAUUUAAUUUCAAGAUAUUUAUAAAAUCAUGAUAUUUUAUAUUUAUUUUUCAUUAAAAAAUUUUAUUUUGAUAUACUUUGACCCACGGGCCGCGUGCUUAGCCCACUAAUGAAGCGUGCUUAUUACGUGCCUUUUUCGCGUGCCGUGCUUUGGCCCAUAUUUAAUCGUGCUGUGCUUUUAAGACCCGCGUGCCUAAAAUUCUAGGCUCGGCACGACCCACGUGCAUGUCAUGCCGUGCCUCGUGCCCUACCGAAACGUGCUCGUGUUGUGCCGUGUCUUGUGCCACCCGGCCCAUUUGUCAUCUCUAGUUUUCUCUGACUGUGUUUUUUUGCUUUCACAGGUUUCAAAGUUGGGGUUUGAAUGCAUGAGCCUAAGUGGAGGUUACAGUUCUCCCGUCUCUGAAGAGGAUGGCAUCUCAAUAAGAAAGCAUGCUUUCAACAAAGGAAUCACUCUUUUUUUUUUUUAACUAAUUAAGCAUCAGGUUACUGUAUUACAUAGACAUUUACAAUUGCUAUGACAGUAGAUCAUUACACUGAUAUUUACAAUUAAAUAUAUAAUUGGGACUUACAUUAUUACAUUAUUAAUUUUAUGAAAUACAUGCCAAACAAAUAAUCCUUAUGGAAGAACGGUGUCUUUACUCCACUCGCAUUUCAAAAUGGAGAAAUACUUCACAAAUAAUUUUCACAAAAUUAUGUUUAAUUGAGGGAUGUUGAGUUCAUGGGGAUUCGAACCAUUGCCCUCAUAGUUAUGCUUAACUUUAAAGGCCAAUGGUUCACCACUGGGCUAAAGCCCAAGUGGCAGGAACCACUUUCUUUGAUACUGCUUAGUGCUGAUAGAUAUGGACCUUACACUAACGAAAUUCUUCUUAGAAAGUUAAUAAUUAUGAAAAUGGCAUAAAAUGAAAUUAUCUUAUCAUGGAAUAACAUUUUAAAAGAAAAUCCAAAAUCCAAAUAGCUUAUAUUUAUGUUAAAAUUCUAAAUAAAAAAAUCAUAAAUUAGUAACUAAAUUAACUUAAUAAGAAUAACAUUGUCGUAUUACACACAAAAAAAAAAUCAUUUUGAUGAAUAUUUAAUGUUUGUAAAAUAAAUUAAAUUGAUUAGGGCAAUAUGGACUUUUUAUUAUAAAAUAACCUAAAUUGUUAGGGAAAUAAUUAACUGUAGCAUUGUUAAAUUUAAAGGGGUAAGUAGUAUUUCUAACUUAUUGAGUUAUUUCCAUAAUAAUAACCUAAAUAUGUUUGUUUAAGGUUUUGGCAAAUAGCUACUCUUAGACAUUACUAAGAAUAUCUGAAGAUGAAAAUCAAAUCACUGUUAAAAUUACCCCUGAGAAGCCACGAAGUUUGGGACUACAGAAAUAGAUACCCCUGAGUAUGUGCUCUGCCUUGUUGUGAAGCAAGCUUGCAGCACCUUGAUUUGAUUAUUAAUUGGCUUGACUUCCCUCUAAUUUUGGAUAAUUUCUUUAUAUGCUUUUCACUAAAAACAAAUAAAUUUACAAAGAAUACAUGCAUAGAUAACUUUCUUUCAAAUUUAAAAUGAAAAAUAAAUUGCGAAAAGAAAUUGUGAAUCUGAUGAUUCUUUUAAUAAAAAAAUUUACUGAUUAUAUGGUCAAAUCGAGACUGUAAAUUUCUCUCCUAAGUUCUACAUGACAUUUUGCAAAGUUUAGGGGAUAUUUCUUAACUUUUUAAAUAUUUUGAACUUGUUUUCAAUUACACUGAACUUUAGGACACUUGUCAAAACUUAUAAGUUCAUGAUUAAUCAUGAUAAAGAUAAAGAGCACGUGUCCCAGCUUAACACUUUUAGUCAUUCUGCUCAUUGUUGACGUUAGAGUCCACUGUCUCUCUACUUAUUGAAACUUGAAAGACACCCAAAACAAAGAAACCAAAACUACAGCUUCAAAAAUGGCAGAAGAGAAACUCCAAGUUCCAAGAGUGAAACUUGGUACCCAAGGCCUCGAGGUAAACUACCCAUAUGUAAUUUUUUUUUUUUAUCAAAUCCUGGAAAUUUGUUUUUCAUGGUCUUACAGGUUUCAAAGUUGGCGCUUGGAUGCAUGAACCUGAGUUCUGGUUAUAGCUCUCCAGUCUCAGAAGAGGAUGGCAUCUCCAUGAUAAAACAUGCUUUCAGUAAAGGAAUCACUUUCUUUGAUACUGCUGAUGUGUACGGACAAAAUGCUAAUGAAACUCUUCUGGGAAAGGUUAUGGUCAUUUCUUUGAAUUCUCUUACCUCUUAUAUAAUUCAGACAUAGGUCAAGUGGUAACUUAGGAACCACAGUCCUGAUGAAAUAUGUUUGUUUAGGAAUUGGUGAAUAAUUACUUUUGUAUCAUAGAAGGGAAACCUUGUCAGAAUUUUUAGAAUUUUAUUGAAUUAAAAAAAAAAAAAAAGAGUACUCCUUCGAUUUCAGGCCUUCAAGAUGUUGCCCAGAGAAAAGGUACAAAUAGCCACAAAGUUUGGGGUUGUAGGACUAAGAGAUAAUGGCGUGAUCGUGAAGGGCACCCCUGAUUACGUGCGCUCGUGUUGUGAAGCUAGCUUGAAGCGACUUGAUGUGGAUUACAUUGAUUUGUAUUAUCAACAUAGAGUGGACACAUCGGUCCCUAUCGAGGAAACCAUGAGUGAUAUUUUUUCUCCCGGGCUAACUAUCUGAAUCGUAAAGUUCUGUCUUAAAUUACAAUAUUUAAAGAGUUUUUUAGAAACUAUAUUCCUUGUCAUGUUAUAGAUUGGCGAAAUGAAGAAGCUGGUGGAGGAGGGUAAAAUCAAGUACAUUGGUUUGUCUGAGGCUAGCCCAGACACAAUUAGGAGAGCACAUGGUGUUCAUCCCAUCACAGCUGUACAAAUGGAAUGGUCCCUCUGGACUCGUGAUAUCGAGGAAGAGAUAAUACCCCUCUGCAGGUUUGUUCUUCUUUCAGUGAACACUAUCCACAUUAGUCUUCUCUUUUACAGUCCUUUGAAGAGUGUCUAAGGACCUAUUUACCUUUUCCAAUCUAGUAUUUUGUGUCUAAUGUCUGUAGAAUUUUAAAAAAAAUAAUUGCUUGCUUAGAAUAGAUUAGAUUUUCUGUGCAAGUAUAUGCUAAUAUAUACAAGGCUGCUUUUCUUAUACAUUGAAGUGGGCAGGGAACUUGGCAUUGGAAUUGUUCCAUACAGCCCUCUUGGUCGUGGGUUUUUCGGUGGCAAAGCUGUUGUGGAAAGUGUACCCGCAGAUAGCGUUUUGGUACUUUUUUCAUAAAUGUUUAUCCACAUCAAUUUGUUUCCUAUGUAGUGUAUAAAUGUUUUAAAAUAGCAACAGUAGUUUCCAGUUUCCUUUAAUGCUAAUGUUUUAUAUAUCAUAAUACAUAUUAAAAUGAUGCAUAUGUUUGUUUUAUAAGCAUUUUUUUCCUCGGUACAAAGGAGAGAACCUGGACAGGAACAAGAAUAUUUAUUUUCGCAUAGAGAAUCUUGCCAAAAAGUACAAAUGCACUUCUGCUCAACU
Molecule: long non-coding RNA, 11910 nt
Filed under: Citrus x clementina
Lineage: Eukaryota; Viridiplantae; Streptophyta; Magnoliopsida; Sapindales; Rutaceae
Description: Citrus clementina (C. clementina) long non-coding RNA (CCLE_LNC002907)
Source: RNAcentral